GAUUCCCUGCCCUGUGCGCGAAUUUCGCGUCUAUUAUAACCCUACAACCUUUUAAAAAGGGAUUUCGGCUCCCGAUGUGGGUUUGCAGACCUCCCGCCUUCGGCGGAAGAAGGGAGCACAAAGCACCGGGGAGAAAACCCACCCUGUUAUUUAUAACAGGUUAUCAUUAGCCGCUUUACGGCAGGGCGGGGCGUCA
This 196-nucleotide non-coding RNA is filed under the name Oscillospiraceae bacterium. Its description in RNAcentral is "6S RNA". It matches the Rfam family "6S / SsrS RNA". From Rfam's summary of the family: E. coli 6S RNA was the first non coding RNA to be sequenced, but its function was unknown until recently. It consists of 184 nucleotides that fold into an extended hairpin structure with a large single-stranded internal bulge. The 6S RNA specifically associates with RNA polymerase holoenzyme containing the sigma70 specificity factor. Lineage: Bacteria; Bacillati; Bacillota; Clostridia; Eubacteriales; Oscillospiraceae. The record is from RNAcentral.